This 253-nucleotide ribosomal RNA is filed under the name uncultured bacterium. RNAcentral describes it as "partial 16S ribosomal RNA". It matches the Rfam family "Bacterial small subunit ribosomal RNA", at positions 524 to 776 of the family's 1533-position model. The record is from RNAcentral.
UACGGUGGGGGCAAGCGUUGUUCGGAAUUACUGGGCGUAAAGGGCUCGUAGGUGGCCAACUAAGUCAGACGUGAAAUCCCUCGGCUUAACCGGGGAACUGCGUCUGAUACUGGAUGGCUAGAGAUUGGGAGAGGGAUGCGGAAUUCCAGGUGUAGCGGUGAAAUGCGUAGAUAUCUGGAGGAACACCGGUGGCGAAGGCGGCAUCCUGGACCAACACUGACGCUGAGGAGCGAAAGCCAGGGGAGCAAACGGG